UACGUAGGUGGCAAGCGUUGUCCGGAUUUAUUGGGCGUAAAGAGCUCGUAGGCGGCUCGUCGCGUCGGCUGUGAAAACCCGCGGCUUAACUGUGGGCUUGCAGCUGAUACGGGCGGGCUAGAGUUCGGUAGGGGAGACUGGAAUUCCUGGUGUAGCGGUGAAAUGCGCAGAUAUCAGGAGGAACACCGGUGGCGAAGGCGGGUCUCUGGGCCGAUACUGACGCUGAGGAGCGAAAGCGUGGGGAGCGAACAGG
This 253-nucleotide ribosomal RNA is filed under the name uncultured bacterium. RNAcentral describes it as "partial 16S ribosomal RNA". It matches the Rfam family "Bacterial small subunit ribosomal RNA", at positions 524 to 776 of the family's 1533-position model. The record is from RNAcentral.